GUUUGAUCCUGGCUCAGGAUGAACGCUGGCGGCGUGCCUAAUACAUGCAAGUCGAACGAGGUGCUUUUGUAGCAAUACGAAAGUAUCCUAGUGGCGAACGGGUGAGUAACGCGUUGGUGACCUGCCCCAAAGUGUGGGAUAACAGUCCGAAAGGAUUGCUAAUACCUCAUGUGGUCAUCGGGUUUAGAAACCGAUGACUAAAGCAGCAAUGCGCUUUGGGAGGGGCCUGCGUCCCAUCAGCUAGUUGGUGAGGUAAUGGCUCACCAAGGCGACGACGGGUAGGGGACCUGAGAGGGUGGCCCCCCACAAUGGAACUGAAACACGGUCCAUACACCUACGGGUGGCAGCAGUAGGGAAUAUUGCUCAAUGGGCGAAAGCCUGAAGCAGCAACGCCGCGUGCGCGAUGAAGGUCUUCGGAUCGUAAAGCGCUUUUAUGAGGGAUGAGAAAGGACAGUACCUCAGGAAUAAGUCUCGGCUAACUACGUGCCAGCAGCCGCGGUAAAACGUAGGAGGCAAGCGUUAUCCGGAUUCACUGGGCGUAAAGCGCGUGCAGGCGGUUCGGUAAGUUGGGCGUGAAAUCUCCUGGCUUAACUGGGAGAGGUCGUCCAAUACUACCGGACUUGAGAGUGAUAGAGGAAGAUGGAAUUCCCGGUGUAGUGGUGAAAUGCGUAGAUAUCGGGAGGAACACCAGUGGCGAAAGCGAUCUUCUGGAUCAUUUCUGACGCUCAGACGCGAAAGCUAGGGUAGUAAACGGGAUUAGAGACCCCGGUAAUCCUAGCCGUAAACGAUGUAAACUUGGCGUUGGUGGCUUAAACACCAUCAGUGCCGCAGCUAACGCGAUAAGUUUACCGCCUGGGGACUAUGAUCGCAAGAUUAAAACUCAAAGGAAUUGACGGGGGCCCGCACAAGCAGCGGAGCGUGUGGUUUAAUUCGAUGCUACACGAAGAACCUUACCCGGGUUUGACAUGCAAGUGGUAGUGAUCUGAAAGGGAACG
RNAcentral lists this ribosomal RNA (995 nucleotides) under bacterium enrichment culture clone 1.79. RNAcentral describes it as "bacterial SSU rRNA". It matches the Rfam family "Bacterial small subunit ribosomal RNA", at positions 11 to 1014 of the family's 1533-position model. The record is from RNAcentral.